CAGGGUACUGCAGAGUGCGCUGAUUGCUUUGGUUUGUUGGUUGUUUUAUGGAGUCAAGCUUCCUGCUUACUUUUGCCCACAUUCCUGUUUUCACCUAGGGAUCAAUCUAGGCUACAGAAACUCUGCCCGCAGAGACUCUCCCCGAUAAGGCUCAUCCGCAGUGCUGAUGACGACAGUGGUGUGUUUUACUACAAUGAAGAAAGCAAGAGAAAAGAAAAUGUUAAGAACA
Molecule: long non-coding RNA, 229 nt
Organism: Canis lupus familiaris (dog)
Lineage: Eukaryota; Metazoa; Chordata; Mammalia; Carnivora; Canidae
Exons: 4
Source: RefSeq, a predicted model, not a curated record